AUGUUCGCAACCGCCCGGUGCCACUUCUCGGUUCUCGCUCCCUUCCGGCCACAAUACGUCGCGCAGACGCGAUCACAGCCUCCCCGCACCACCGAUACCUUAGCGCCGCCUCGUCCUCGCCCUCGCCCUCGCCGCACCUCCGCGAGACGGGACCCCGCCAUGCCGAUCUCAUCCUCCCUCUCCGCGCGCCUCGGCCCCGGUCUCGCGGCCGCGCCCGCACGGUGGAGCCCUUACGCCCGUCCCUCCGAACCCCGCAGGGGCGGCGCUGGAAGCGGCUGCGCCAAGGCCUCCCGCCCGCCCCUCCGCCUCGAACCCGCGACGGCGAGACUCCUCGGCCCCGCGCGGAGGGCCGAAUCCCGCGGAUCGAGUCGCGGCGCCGCGUUCGGCGCCGCAGCCCCUACACCUGCACGACGGCUGUUUGGAGAUCUGAAGAAGUCGGACCAGAAGACGGAUCCCAAGCCGGCGGGCACGAAUCCAGAGCCAAUCCAGGAGUCGCGCGUCGAGGAGAGCCGUGGCUGCGGCGGUUUCGCUUUCCUCUGCGCCCUCGCUGGACACAAGGAGCUCUACUCUGUCAGUGCCGAUGGCUCUGUUCGCGUAUGGGACGGCAACUCUGGCAAGUGCGUUGAUGUCAUCAAGAUAGGAGGGAAGAUUGGUUGUAUGAUCACUCAUGACAAGUGGGUAUUUAUUGGAAUCCCAAAAUCCGUGGAGGCAUGGAACAUACAGACAGGGAUGAAGCUAAGUCUUCAGGGACCUUCUGGGCUUGUUUGUUCCAUGACUAUCAAGGAUGAGAUGCUGUUUGCUGGCACGGCGGAUGGCCGCAUCAUGGCUUGGAAAUUUCCUGCUAAGGAGAUCAACUUGGAACCGGUGGCAAUCCUCGCUGGCCACGACCGUCAUGUGAUUUCACUUGCUGGCUCAGCAAAUAGGCUUUACUCUGGUUCACUUGACAAGACAAUCAGAGUAUGGGACCUUAAAAAUCUUCAGUGUAAGUUACUAUCUUGCUCUCUGGAUAAGACCGUAAAGGUCUGGGCUGCUUCAGAAUCUGGAAACCUUCAACUCAUGCAUACCCAUUCCGAGGAGCAUGGAGUACGCACCCUCUUUGGCAUGCAUCGUCCGGGAAAGACGCCGGUUCUGCUCUGCUCCCUCCACAAGAGCAACUGCGUCCGCUUGUUGGGCCUGCCAUCGUUCGAGGAGAUUGGCACGCUCUCCUCCAAAACAGAAGUGAAGACCAUCGAACUCGCCCAAGGACCAUCGAGGCUUCUUUUCACUGGAGACGGCGCGGGCGAGCUCAAGGUGUGGAUGUGGGCGCCCCGGGACGAGGAUAAGGAGUCCCCCAACACCGGCGCUGUCAUAGACGUCAGCUAG
This 1362-nucleotide ribosomal RNA is filed under the name Triticum aestivum (bread wheat). RNAcentral describes it as "partial small subunit ribosomal RNA". Lineage: Eukaryota; Viridiplantae; Streptophyta; Magnoliopsida; Poales; Poaceae. The record is from RNAcentral.